AUUUUGGACACUGGGGGAAACCCUGAUCCAGCCAUCCCGCGUGUAUGAUGAAGGCCUUCGGGUUGUAAAUUACUCUUGGCAGAGAAGAAAAGGCAUCCCCUAAUACCGGAUGCUGCUGACGGUAUCUGCAGAAUAAGCACCGGCUAACUACGUGCCAGCAGCCGCGGUAAUACGUAGGGUGCAAGCGUUAAUCGGAAUUACUGGGCGUAAAGCGUGCGCAAGCGGUUCGGAAAGAAGGAUGUGAAAUCCCAGGGCUCAACCUUGGAACUGCAUUCUUAACUACCGAACUAGAGUAUGUCAGAGGGGGGUAGAAUUCCGCGUGUAGCAGUGAAAUGCGUAGAUAUGCGGAGGAAUACCGAUGGCGAAGGCAGCCCCCUGGGAUAAUACUGACGCUCAUGCACGAAAGCGUGGGUAGCAAACAGG
Molecule: ribosomal RNA, 423 nt
Filed under: uncultured bacterium
Lineage: Bacteria
Description: partial 16S ribosomal RNA
Rfam family: Bacterial small subunit ribosomal RNA
Source: RNAcentral